Molecule: ribosomal RNA, 253 nt
Filed under: uncultured bacterium
Lineage: Bacteria
Description: partial 16S ribosomal RNA
Rfam family: Bacterial small subunit ribosomal RNA
Source: RNAcentral
UACGGAAUGUGCAAACGUUAUUCGGAAUUACUGGGCGUAAAGGGCUCGUAGGCGGCCAACUAAGUCAGACGUGAAAUCCCUCAGCUUAACUGGGGAACUGCGUCUGAUACUGGAUGGCUUGAGUUCGGGAGAGGGAUGCGGAAUUCCAGGUGUAGCGGUGAAAUGCGUAGAUAUCUGGAGGGACACCGGUGGCGAAGGCGGCAUCCUGGACCGACACUGACGCUGAGGAGCGAAAGCCAGGGGAGCAAACGGG